This 861-nucleotide ribosomal RNA is filed under the name Anampses lennardi. RNAcentral's name for it is "partial 12S ribosomal RNA". The stretch from base 1 to 537 matches the Rfam family "Bacterial small subunit ribosomal RNA", at positions 768 to 1533 of the family's 1533-position model. The record is from RNAcentral. Lineage: Eukaryota; Metazoa; Chordata; Actinopteri; Labriformes; Labridae.
UUUACUGGGAUUAGAUACCCCACUAUGCCUAGCCAUAAACAUAGAUAAUUAUGUACUUAUUUAUCCGCCUGGGUACUACGAGCGUUAGCUUAAAACCCAAAGGACUUGGCGGUGCUUUAGAUCCACCUAGAGGAGCCUGUUCUAGAACCGAUAAUCCCCGUUAAACCUCACCUCUCCUUGSCUAGUCSGCCUAUAUACCGCCGUCGUCAGCUUACCCUGUGAAGAGAUAGAAGUAAGCACAACCGGCACAGCCCAAAACGUCAGGUCGAGGUGUAGCGUAUGGAGAGGGAAGAAAUGGGCUACAUUCGAUAGCAAUAUUGAAUACGGAUAAUGUUUUGAAAGAGACAUUUGAAGGAGGAUUUAGUAGUAAGCAGGGAAUAGAGAGCCCCGCUGAAGACCGGCCCUUAAGCGCGCACACACCGCCCGUCACUCUCCCCGAGCUAACAUAAACCAAUUACUAAUAAACAAAAACUGUAAAGGGGAGGCAAGUCGUAACAUGGUAAGUGUACCGGAAGGUGCACUUGGAAUAACUCAUAGCAUAGCUAAACAACGCAUAGCAUCUCCCUUACUACUGAUGAAGAUAUCCGUUGUCAAUCCCGGAGUUGCCCUGAAUGACCCAAUAUCUAUACCCAACCCCUCUAAAAGUAAAUACAACUCCAUCGUCUAUAACCCUCACAUACACUAAACAUCAAUUAAAACAAACCAUUUUACCCUCGUUAGUAUGGGACGACAGAACAUGAGAAGUCGGCGACCAUAAAGAAAGUACCGCAAGGGAAAGCUGAAAGAGAAACUGAAACAACUCAGUUCAAAGCUCAAAGAAGCAGAGACUAAACCUCGUACCUUUUGCAUAAUGGUCUAGCA